GAUGAACGCUGGCGGCGUGCCUAAUACAUGCAAGUCGAGCGAACAGACGAGGAGCUUUCUCCUCUUACUUUAGCGGCGGAUGGGUGAGUAACACGUGGAUAACCUACCUAUAAGACUGGGAUAACUUCGGGAAACCGGCGCUAAUACCGGAUAAUAUAUUGCACCGCAUGGUUCAAUAGUCAAAGACGGUUUUGCUGUCACUUAUAGAUUGAUCCGCGCCGCAUUAGCUAGUUGGUAAGGUAACGGCUUACCAAGGCGACGAUGCGUAGCCGACCUGAGAGGGUGAUCGACCACACUAGCACUGAGAAACGGUCCAGACUCCUACGAGAGGCAGCAGUAGGGAAUCUUCCGCAAGGGGCGAAAGCCUGACGGAGCAACGCCGCGUGAGUGAUGAAGGUCUUCGGAUCGUAAAACACUGUUAUUAGCGAAGAGCAAAUGUGUAAGUAACUAUGCACGUCUUGACGGUCCAUAAUCAGAAAGCCACGGCUAACUACGUG
RNAcentral lists this ribosomal RNA (497 nucleotides) under uncultured bacterium. RNAcentral describes it as "partial 16S ribosomal RNA". It matches the Rfam family "Bacterial small subunit ribosomal RNA", at positions 28 to 507 of the family's 1533-position model. The record is from RNAcentral.